CUACGUGCCAGCAGCCGCGGUAAUACGUAGGUGGCAAGCGUUGUCCGGAAUUAUUGGGCGUAAAGCGCGCGCAGGCGGAUAGGUCAGUCUGUCUUAAAAGUUCGGGGCUUAACCCCGUGAUGGGAUGGAGACUGCUGAUCUAGAGUAUCGGAGAGGAAAGUGGAAUUCCUAGUGUAGCGGUGAAAUGCGUAGAUAUUAGGAAGAACACCAGUGGCGAAGGCGACUUUCUGGACGAAAACUGACGCUGAGGCGCGAAAGCCAGGGGAGCGAACGGGAUUAGAUACCCUGGUAGUCCACGCCGUAAACGAUGAGUGCUAGGUGUUAGACCCUUUCCGGGGUUUAGUGCCGCAGCUAACGCAUUAAGCACUCCGCCUGGGGAGUACGACCGCAAGGUUGAAACUCAAAGGAAUUGACGGGGGCCCGCACAAGCGGUGGAGCAUGUGGUUUAAUUCGAAGCAACGCGAAGAACCUUACCAGGUCUUGACAUCCC
This 490-nucleotide ribosomal RNA is filed under the name uncultured bacterium. RNAcentral's name for it is "bacterial SSU rRNA". It matches the Rfam family "Bacterial small subunit ribosomal RNA", at positions 501 to 990 of the family's 1533-position model. The record is from RNAcentral.